GCCAUUUUGCAUUGGACUGGAUCGUGCAUAGUGAGAUGUCACUAGUCUACGAUCGCCAAAUUGUAGAGUAAAAUACACCUCACUACAGAGUCAGACGGUCUGUUUGAAUAUACAGCAUCAUUUCAUCGUCUAUAUGGUGGGACAACCUGCUAGACAGGGUAUGUAAGUUAUGCUACAAAGAUAUUGAUUUCUGUGAUGCAAAGCUAAAUUUUCAUCAUUCUAGUGUCACAUGAUCAUUUAGAAAUAAUUUUAAUAUGAUGAUUUAUUGUCAAUAUUGGAAACAGGUGGUUUAUUUUCCAAUAAAUGCAGGCAUGAUAAGCAUAAGAGACUUUUUUUCCAAACAUUUCACCGGUAGUGUACACACAUGGUGGGACACAAUAUUUCUGAAAAAGAAAAAUACAUACUCUUCACCUCACAAAAUCUUUAUCUGUCUCUAUAAAAACUAUUAUCUACAUAAAACAUUGUUAAAGAAAAUUAUUAAAUCAUGUGGUUUUUUUGUCUUGUUCUAGUUUAAGAAUGAAGACAUCUGUAUCUACCUCAAAGAAGGCUUGGAGAGACACAUUAAAGAAUAUGUGGUAAGUGUAUGUCAACCUACUCUAUUUUUAUAUCUAUCUAUUUAUACGCGUAUGUGCACGCGUAUGUAUGUGCACGCGUACGUGUGUAUAUAAAUAUCUUCUGGAUAACUAGAUGUUUAAACAAGGUGAUUAUCUGUUUUCAGGUCUUUUGAUGGUUUUGUGACUAAUGUUCUAUUAUUUUACACAUUUAAAUCAGUCUACAUAUUUUAAAUAUCAGAGUUUGUAAAACAAUUUGCCUGCACAUUUUUGAAAAUUUCACUGCUAUUGGGACUGAUUUUUUUGUUGUUCUUCUCCAGAAUUGUGAAAUUGGUGAGUUGGGGAUUGCACAGACAGUGGAAGUCUUGCAAAACCUACUUGGUGUCACACAUGGGUGUGAAAUUGUUUUUUGGACUCAUUUAUGCACUUAAACUGAACUACCUGAAGAACCUCAAGUGCACCUUUUGAAAAAAAUCCUAAGGGAACUGGACUUGAUACAACCGAGCAAUCACUGAAAGAUGCUUCAGUGAAUACCUGACAGACACGCUGAUGCAUCCCCCUCAAAGUGGGUACAUUUUUGUACAUUUAUAAGUGAACUUUAUAACAUUAAAGGAAUAUUGCACUUUCAUUAAACAAAAAUCCUGGUAAUUUACUGUCUGUCAUCCAAGAUGUUUGUCUUUUUUUUUGUUCAGUCGAGAAGAAAUUAAGUUUUUUGAGAAAAACAUUCCAGGAUUUUUCUUAAUUUAAUGGACCUUAUUGGACCUCAACAGUUUAGUUUCAAUGCAGUUUAAAAUUGCAGUUUCAAAGCAGCUUUAAAGGGCUCUAAGCAAUCCCAACCGAGGCAUAAGGGUUUUAUCUAUCCAAAAGAUUAUCAUUUUUGGCAAGAAAACUUUUAAAACACAACUUCUUGUCUUGCAUUAUCCAUGUGACACACAGUGCGACAUUGUGUACUAUGUAUUAACGUCGAAUGGUUACACAUCACAAAUGUGAAACGCACAUUUGUGGACCAUUUUAAAUAAUAAACGGACCCAAAGACAUUAAUUAGUAUCAUUUCACAUUCAACAACAUCUGAACGCUCCUCUUUCUCCCGGAACACUGGAGCGGUAGUUUCAAUUAUGUCAUGCUAGCGUGUCACACAGCUAGUGCAAAAUUUUGUGAUUUAAAAGUCCUCUUUUAUUUUUAUUUUUGAAAAGUACAAUCGUUUCGCUAGAUAAGACCCUUAUGCCUUAUUUGGGAUAAUUUAGAGCCCUUUUAAAUCUGCAUUGAAACUGUAAACUUGAGGUCGAAUAAAGUCUUAAAUUUAGAAAAAUCCUGGAAUGUUUAACUCAAACUUUAUUUCAUCUUGACUGAACAAAGUAAAACAUUAACAUAUGGGGUUAGAAAAUUAUCAGGAUUUUUGUUUUAUUCAAUUGGAAUAUUCCUUUAACAAUUUUAAAAGUUGGAAAGUUUUUGAAAAAUGUAAUUGAUGUAUAUCUAACAUGUAAUUAAAGAUGCAUGAAAAUUGUUCAUGGCACACAGCCACUCAAAACACUAAGCCAUGUGCCAUUUAUUUCAUUCUAAAUUAUUAUUACAUCAUGUCACAGAUUCUGUUGACACAGAAAAUGUUAAUGUUGUUGUCACUGAUUUAUGUCUACCUCGAGUUUUACAGGGUUUUUUGUAUUUCUGCAGCCUGUUUAAAUGUUUGCUCUUAUUUGUGGAUUGAGGUUGAUUGUGGCUGAAAUGUCUGAAACACACUUAUUAAUUUAUUUUUGCACACAAUACGAGGUGUAUAAGCCAUGGCUGUCAUGCUAGUUGUUAGCCGCUCUUUUUUUGCUGUCUUAUGAGUAAUGCCUUGAAGUAUUAAAUAAACUGAUAAAAUGUAAAACCAAGUGGUCUGGCUAUUCUGUUUUUUUAUUAUAGCAUAUUGUGAUUAAGGAGGGUGAAUGG
This is a non-coding RNA of Paramisgurnus dabryanus, 2477 nucleotides long. Lineage: Eukaryota; Metazoa; Chordata; Actinopteri; Cypriniformes; Cobitidae. The record is from RefSeq and is a predicted model, not a curated record.